RNAcentral lists this ribosomal RNA (505 nucleotides) under uncultured bacterium. RNAcentral describes it as "bacterial SSU rRNA". It matches the Rfam family "Bacterial small subunit ribosomal RNA", at positions 28 to 526 of the family's 1533-position model. The record is from RNAcentral.
GAUGAACGCUAGCGACAGGCCUAACACAUGCAAGUCGAGGGGUAGCAGGAACUAGCAAUAGUUUGCUGACGACCGGCGCACGGGUGAGUAACACGUAUGCAACCUACCUACUACAGGGGGAUAGCCCGGAGAAAUCCGGAUUAAUACCGCAUAAAACAGGGAUUCCGCAUGGAAAUAUUUGUUAAAGAAAUUCGGUAGUAGAUGGGCAUGCGUUCCAUUAGCUAGUUGGUAAGGUAACGGCUCACCAAGGCAACGAUGGAUAGGGGAACUGAGAGGUUGAUCCCCCACACUGGUACUGAGACACGGACCAGACUCCUACGGGAGGCAGCAGUGAGGAAUAUUGGUCAAUGGUCGGGAGACUGAACCAGCCAAGUCGCGUGAAGGAAGACGGUUCUAUGGAUUGUAAACUUCUUUUGUACAGGAGUAAAACCUACCACGAGUGGUAGCUUGCAAGUACUGUACGAAUAAGCAUCGGCUAACUCCGUGCCAGCAGCCGCAGUAACAC